CAAAAGGCUUUUUUAAAAGCUACACUUUUUCUCUAGAAGUUCGGCU
Pongo abelii (Sumatran orangutan) is the source of this 46-nucleotide non-coding RNA. NCBI's taxonomy places the organism in Eukaryota, Metazoa, Chordata, Mammalia, Primates, Hominidae. The record is from Rfam.